UGCACUCACUACUGUAAGUCACUCUGGAUAAGAGUGUCUGCUAACUGACUAACA
Salmo salar (Atlantic salmon) is the source of this 54-nucleotide non-coding RNA. NCBI's taxonomy places the organism in Eukaryota, Metazoa, Chordata, Actinopteri, Salmoniformes, Salmonidae. The record is from Rfam.